Molecule: long non-coding RNA, 222 nt
Filed under: Nicotiana benthamiana
Lineage: Eukaryota; Viridiplantae; Streptophyta; Magnoliopsida; Solanales; Solanaceae
Description: long non-coding RNA (NBEN_LNC039989)
Source: RNAcentral
CCUUAUAUGGUUUGGACAAUCCUAACCUCAUAAGCUAGCUUUUGAGGUUGAGUUAGGCCCAAGGUCUAUUCUUAUCAUGGUAUCAGAGCCAGGCCCAUCCCAAUUAUUGUUACCGAUGUUGGGCCCCCAUUUAUGUUGUCCACGCUCCAGAAAUCUGGGCGUGAUGGGGGGUGUUGAGUUGUCCCACAUCGGAGGGAUUUGAGGUCCUUGGUUUCCUUAUAU